UGGGGAAUCUUGCACAAUGGGGGCAACCCCGAUGCAGCGACGCCGCGUGAGCGAUGAAGCCCUUCGGGGCGUAAAGCUCUUUCGACCGGAACGAUAAUGACGGUACCGGGAGAAGAAGCUGCGGCUAACUAAGUGCCAGCAGCCGCGGUAAUACGUAGGCAGCAAGCGUUGUUCGGAGUUACUGGGCGUAAAGAGCGCGUAGGCGGUUUUCUAAGUUCGGUGUGAAAUCUCCCGGCUUAACUGGGAGGGUGCGCCGAAGACUGGGAAGCUGGAGUGUGGGAAAGGCAGGCGGAAUUCCUGGUGUAGCGGUGAAAUGCGUAGAUAUCAGGAGGAACACCGGCGGUGUAGACGGCUUGCUAGACCAUAACUGACGCUGAGGCACGAAAGCGUGGGUAGCAAACA
This 402-nucleotide ribosomal RNA is filed under the name uncultured bacterium. Its description in RNAcentral is "bacterial SSU rRNA". It matches the Rfam family "Bacterial small subunit ribosomal RNA", at positions 355 to 774 of the family's 1533-position model. The record is from RNAcentral.